CGUAACACGUAUGUAACCUACCUUUACCAGGGGGAUAGCCUCUCGAAAGAGAGACUAAGACCGCAUAAUAUGAAGAUACAGCAUUGUGACUUCAUCAAAUAUUUAUAGGGUAAAGAUGGGCAUGCGGAACAUUAGCUAGUUGGUAAGGUAAUGGCUUACCAAGGCUACGAUGUUUAGGGGAUCUGAGAGGAUGACCCCCCACACUGGUACUGAGACACGGACCAG
This 225-nucleotide ribosomal RNA is filed under the name uncultured bacterium. RNAcentral's name for it is "partial 16S ribosomal RNA". It matches the Rfam family "Bacterial small subunit ribosomal RNA", at positions 109 to 334 of the family's 1533-position model. The record is from RNAcentral.